Molecule: ribosomal RNA, 437 nt
Filed under: Wolbachia pipientis
Lineage: Bacteria; Pseudomonadati; Pseudomonadota; Alphaproteobacteria; Rickettsiales; Anaplasmataceae
Description: bacterial SSU rRNA
Rfam family: Bacterial small subunit ribosomal RNA
Source: RNAcentral
CAUACCUAUUCGAAGGGAUAGGGCCGGUUUGGCCGGAUUUCACACAGGUGUUGCAUGGCUGUCGUCAGCUCGUGUCGUGAGAUGUUGGGUUAAGUCCCGCAACGAGCGCAACCCUCAUCCUUAGUUACCAUCAGGUUAUGCUGGGGACCUUAAGGAAACUGCCAGUGAUAAACUGGAGGAAGGUGGGGAUGAUGUCAAGUCAUCAUGGCCCUUAUGGAGUGGGCUACACACGUGCUACAAUGGUGAUUACAAUGGGCUGCAAGGUCGCAAGGCUGAGCUAAUCCUAAAAAAUCAUCUCAGUUCGGAUUGUUCUCUGCAACUCGAGAGCAUGAAGUUGGAAUCGCUAGUAACCGUGGAUCAGCAUGCCACGGUGAAUACGUUCUCGGGUCUUGUACACACUGCCCGUCACGCCAUGGGAAUUGGUUUCACUCGAAGCU